UAUUUCUGUAGUCCGCAAGUCAAAUUUCUCAAUUUACUAGACCGUGCGAAUGCACGGGUUGAGGACUAGUAUUCAUAAAUUAGUAUAACAAUAACGAAGCAUAGCCAAAUUUUCAGAUCGGUAAGGAGCAUCAUCAUUAUCAUCAUACCUUUUAAACAGAGCCUCGUUUUCAUAAGCACCCGUAAAAGCAACAAACUCUUCUAUUUGAUCCACAUCAUAGUAAUCAUAUAUACCAUUAGCAUAAGAAGCCAAGGUUCUAUGAUCAUUAAACUCACAAGAAAAGGGAAGGUAUGGAGCCUUCAUCCUAGAUAACAAGUAACACCAUGUCUCUUGCAUAGUUCCCAAGCAUACCAUUUCAACAAAUGGAUUUGAUCCCAUAAAAGUUUCCCUUUUUGAGUCAAGCGAUAAUCCCUAAAGUAUUCACGUUGAUCCAACGUGUAUCCCAUUAUAUAAUUGAAUGGGCCUUUCUCAGGAUUAUUAAAGAAGUGCAUAAUAUUUUCCACAUAACGAGCAUCGAGGGUUUUAGGAGGUUCCCCAUCUCCAUGACUAGCAAGUACACCUAAUUUUUUUGGUAUUUCGUGUUCCAUAUCCAUAACUAAAGAUAGAG
RNAcentral lists this long non-coding RNA (607 nucleotides) under Hordeum vulgare. Its description in RNAcentral is "long non-coding RNA (HVUL_LNC007952)". Lineage: Eukaryota; Viridiplantae; Streptophyta; Magnoliopsida; Poales; Poaceae. The record is from RNAcentral.